GCGGGGAAAGAAGACCCUG
RNAcentral lists this non-coding RNA (19 nucleotides) under Arabidopsis thaliana (thale cress). Lineage: Eukaryota; Viridiplantae; Streptophyta; Magnoliopsida; Brassicales; Brassicaceae. RNAcentral also lists the same sequence under 1 other name. The record is from RNAcentral.